This 1530-nucleotide ribosomal RNA is filed under the name Escherichia coli KTE206. Its description in RNAcentral is "bacterial SSU rRNA". It matches the Rfam family "Bacterial small subunit ribosomal RNA". The record is from RNAcentral. Lineage: Bacteria; Pseudomonadati; Pseudomonadota; Gammaproteobacteria; Enterobacterales; Enterobacteriaceae.
AGAGUUUGAUCAUGGCUCAGAUUGAACGCUGGCGGCAGGCCUAACACAUGCAAGUCGAACGGUAACAGGAAUCAGCUUGCUGCUUUGCUGACGAGUGGCGGACGGGUGAGUAAUGUCUGGGAAACUGCCCGAUGGAGGGGGAUAACUACUGGAAACGGUAGCUAAUACCGCAUAACGUCGCAAGACCAAAGAGGGGGACCUUCGGGCCUCUUGCCAUCGGAUGUGCCCAGAUGGGAUUAGCUAGUAGGUGGGGUAAAGGCUCACCUAGGCGACGAUCCCUAGCUGGUCUGAGAGGAUGACCAGCCACACUGGAACUGAGACACGGUCCAGACUCCUACGGGAGGCAGCAGUGGGGAAUAUUGCACAAUGGGCGCAAGCCUGAUGCAGCCAUGCCGCGUGUAUGAAGAAGGCCUUCGGGUUGUAAAGUACUUUCAGCGGGGAGGAAGGGAGUAAAGUUAAUACCUUUGCUCAUUGACGUUACCCGCAGAAGAAGCACCGGCUAACUCCGUGCCAGCAGCCGCGGUAAUACGGAGGGUGCAAGCGUUAAUCGGAAUUACUGGGCGUAAAGCGCACGCAGGCGGUUUGUUAAGUCAGAUGUGAAAUCCCCGGGCUCAACCUGGGAACUGCAUCUGAUACUGGCAAGCUUGAGUCUCGUAGAGGGGGGUAGAAUUCCAGGUGUAGCGGUGAAAUGCGUAGAGAUCUGGAGGAAUACCGGUGGCGAAGGCGGCCCCCUGGACGAAGACUGACGCUCAGGUGCGAAAGCGUGGGGAGCAAACAGGAUUAGAUACCCUGGUAGUCCACGCCGUAAACGAUGUCGACUUGGAGGUUGUGCCCUUGAGGCGUGGCUUCCGGAGCUAACGCGUUAAGUCGACCGCCUGGGGAGUACGGCCGCAAGGUUAAAACUCAAAUGAAUUGACGGGGGCCCGCACAAGCGGUGGAGCAUGUGGUUUAAUUCGAUGCAACGCGAAGAACCUUACCUGGUCUUGACAUCCACGGAAGUUUUCAGAGAUGAGAAUGUGCCUUCGGGAACCGUGAGACAGGUGCUGCAUGGCUGUCGUCAGCUCGUGUUGUGAAAUGUUGGGUUAAGUCCCGCAACGAGCGCAACCCUUAUCCUUUGUUGCCAGCGGUCCGGCCGGGAACUCAAAGGAGACUGCCAGUGAUAAACUGGAGGAAGGUGGGGAUGACGUCAAGUCAUCAUGGCCCUUACGACCAGGGCUACACACGUGCUACAAUGGCGCAUACAAAGAGAAGCGACCUCGCGAGAGCAAGCGGACCUCAUAAAGUGCGUCGUAGUCCGGAUUGGAGUCUGCAACUCGACUCCAUGAAGUCGGAAUCGCUAGUAAUCGUGGAUCAGAAUGCCACGGUGAAUACGUUCCCGGGCCUUGUACACACCGCCCGUCACACCAUGGGAGUGGGUUGCAAAAGAAGUAGGUAGCUUAACCUUCGGGAGGGCGCUUACCACUUUGUGAUUCAUGACUGGGGUGAAGUCGUAACAAGGUAACCGUAGGGGAACCUGCGGUUGGAUCACCU